This 440-nucleotide ribosomal RNA is filed under the name uncultured bacterium. RNAcentral's name for it is "partial 16S ribosomal RNA". It matches the Rfam family "Bacterial small subunit ribosomal RNA", at positions 338 to 795 of the family's 1533-position model. The record is from RNAcentral.
CCUACGGGAGGCAGCAGUAGGGAAUAUUGCUCAAUGGGGGAAACCCUGAAGCAGCAACGCCGCGUGGAGGAUGAAGGUUCUAGGAGUGUAAACUCCUUUUUUUAGAGAAGUUAAUGCCGGUAUCUCACGAAUAAGCACCGGCUAACGCCGUUCCAGCAGCCGCGGUAAUACGGAGGGUGCAAGCGUUACUCGGAAUGACUGGGCGUAAAGCGUGCGCAGGCGGGUUUGUAAGUCAGAUGUGAAAUCCUGUAGCUUAACUACAGAACUGCAUUUGAAACUCUGAAUCUAGAGUGUGGGAGAGGUAGGUGGAAUUCGUGGUGUAGGGGUAAAAUCCGUAGAUAUCAAGAAGAAUACUGAUUGCGAAGGCAGCCUACUGGAACAUUACUGACGCUCAUGCACGAAAGCGUGGGUAGCAAACAGGAUUAGAUACCCGAGUAGUC